UACGUAGGGGGCUAGCGUUAUCCGGAUUUACUGGGCGUAAAGGGUGCGUAGGCGGUCUUUCAAGUCAGGAGUGAAAGGCUACGGCUCAACCGUAGUAAGCCUUUGAAACUGGGAAACUUGAGUGCAGGAGAGGAGAGUGGAAUUCCUAGUGUAGCGGUGAAAUGCGUAGAUAUUAGGAGGAACACCAGUUGCGAAGGCGGCUCUCUGGACUGUAACUGACACUGAGGCACGAAAGCGUGGGGAGCAAACAGGAUUAGAUACCCGCGUAGUCCCUGA
Molecule: ribosomal RNA, 276 nt
Filed under: uncultured prokaryote
Description: partial 16S ribosomal RNA
Rfam family: Bacterial small subunit ribosomal RNA
Source: RNAcentral